Molecule: ribosomal RNA, 540 nt
Filed under: uncultured bacterium
Lineage: Bacteria
Description: bacterial SSU rRNA
Rfam family: Bacterial small subunit ribosomal RNA
Source: RNAcentral
AAUAGAUACCCCGGUAGUCCACGCCGUAAACGAUGGAUACUAGGUGUGGGAGGUAUCGACCCCUUCCGUGCCGCAGUAAACGCAAUAAGUAUCCCGCCUGGGGAGUACGGCCGCAAGGUUGAAACUCAAAGGAAUUGACGGGGGCCCGCACAAGCAGCGGAGCAUGUGGUUUAAUUCGAAGCAACGCGAAGAACCUUACCAGGACUUGACAUCCCCUGCAUUACUCGUAACGGAGGAAAUCCUUCGGGACAGGGAGACAGGUGGUGCAUGGUUGUCGUCAGCUCGUGUCGUGAGAUGUUGGGUUAAGUCCCGCAACGAGCGCAACCCUUAUCCUUAGUUGCUAACAGUAAGAUGAGCACUCUAGGGAGACUGCCGGGGACAACUCGGAGGAAGGUGGGGAUGACGUCAAAUCAUCAUGCCCCUUAUGUUCUGGGCUACACACGUGCUACAAUGGGUAGAACAACGGGAAGCAAGCUAGUGAUAGUAAGCAAAUCCCUAAAAACUACUCUCAGUUCAGAUUGUAGGCUGCAACUCGCCUAC